CGUGUGAUUAUUUGGAAACCAUGUGAACUGGGGAAAAUUAUUAUGUUUAUCAGAAAAAUCAAACAAUCAUCAGAAAAUCAGUAAAUGAGCAUGCUAUAUCUAUCAAAAAAUAUUUCGGCACCUUUUCAAAAAUAUAUUUGGUUUCCAAUCCCAUAUUUAUAAGCUUCAUUAGUGCCCGGCCAUGAACAUCCCAGUGGUUUGGGUGAUUGGGGCUCCCUGCAGCGGGAAAGGAACGCAGUCGGAGAAGAUAGCCGGGAAAUAUGGCUUUAAGCACAUCGAUCCGACGUUCCUGGUUGACAUAGAGAUAGAUACCCACACGGCAGCUGGAAAGAAGUUUCAACAGAUGCGGUUGACAGGACAAGAAAUUCCCUUGGAAGAGAUGGUGCCUCUAAUCGAAAAGGAAUUAAUGGGUAAUCGAGGAGGACUGAAGGGACUCGUUAUCGAUGGUUACCCAACCAACUUCGAUGAAGCUGAAAUCCUAGAGCAUCGCAUAGGGACCCCCGACUUGAUAGUUGCGCUGGAUGUGCAAGAGGAUAUAACCAGUCGACGGACUUCUAGAGCAGGCUCUGUUGGUAGGGCUAGUGUGGCCGAGCACAGGGCCUCCACCCAACCAAUAUUAACAAACUACGCCCUAAUUACCCUGCAAGUGAAUGGUGAGGAAGAGCCCGACCAAGUUUUCGAAGUAAUCAGCGAACACAUGGACAAUCUGGUGAAGAAUCGCAAGCAGAUCAAAAUUGGUCGAUAAAUUUGCCUCCUCCACCCGAACCCUGAGACAUUUAAAUCAAGUGGGAAUCCCAAUGAAAAGCUUGUCACUAUAUCUACAAAAGGGUAGCCAAAAUCGAAAGCUCGCUAGGUCAGAAAAGCUUUGCGCCAAAGCUUGAGCUGCGCCGCACUGCGCGUACUGAAACCGUUAGCCGAAACCGUCCGAACCAUAGCGUUCCGGAGCGAAAGCCUUUUCAUUCAGAUUCAGAUACAUCGAUUCGGAUUCAGAUUCGGAUUCCGAUUCACUCUCAACAGACGCAGCACUCGGCACGGAGCACGGCGGUGGUGGAUAAAACGGAACUGUUUUGGCCACUUGCGAAAAAUCGAGCACAACACUAGACGGAAAAUCGCGCAAUUUCUUCAUCCAAAGGCCCGCAGAAGCAGCGAAUACAUCUAGUAUACAUCAUCAUGUUAUUUAUGUGUCACCAAAUGGCCAUGAAGAAGGAGGCCGAACAGAAACUCAAGGCCGAGGAGCUCCGCAGGGCACAAGGAGCCGCUACUGAUAUUCCCAUCAUCUGGAUCUUGGGCGGACCCGGCUGCGGCAAGGGCACUCAAUGCGCCAAAAUUGUGGAAAAAUACGGAUUCACACA
Non-coding RNA from Drosophila bipectinata, 1352 nucleotides. The record is from RefSeq and is a predicted model, not a curated record. NCBI's taxonomy places the organism in Eukaryota, Metazoa, Arthropoda, Insecta, Diptera, Drosophilidae.